This 241-nucleotide long non-coding RNA is filed under the name Glycine max (soybean). RNAcentral describes it as "long non-coding RNA (GMAX_LNC001996)". The record is from RNAcentral. Lineage: Eukaryota; Viridiplantae; Streptophyta; Magnoliopsida; Fabales; Fabaceae.
CAAGAAAGAGUAGAGUUGUUCCUUCUUUAUCACAUUGGACAAUGGUGAAGGGUCUGUUAGCUAUUUUAUAGUGUCAUUUAAAGGACGGUGUUUAGUUUCUUUCUGGGGUCUGAGAAUUGAAUAUGGAUUUAGACCAUAUAGUUCAGUAAACCAAUGUUUUCCAACUUUCUUUGGCAAUGGUAUUAGUGUUAUUGUGACUGGAGAACCUAAUGUUGGACGAUUAGUUUUGUUUGGUUUCAUU